GGGUCCGUGGCGCAGCUUGGACAAUAAAGCCUUGGGGCUUGAUCCAAAGAGCGCGUCGGCCUUCUAAGCCGGAGAUCCCGGGUUCAAAUCCCGGCGGACCCGCCA
Molecule: transfer RNA, 105 nt
Filed under: Candidatus Bathyarchaeota archaeon
Lineage: Archaea; Thermoproteati; Candidatus Bathyarchaeota
Description: tRNA-Arg
Rfam family: tRNA
About the family: Transfer RNA (tRNA) molecules are approximately 80 nucleotides in length.
Source: RNAcentral